RNAcentral lists this ribosomal RNA (320 nucleotides) under uncultured bacterium. RNAcentral's name for it is "bacterial SSU rRNA". It matches the Rfam family "Bacterial small subunit ribosomal RNA", at positions 28 to 339 of the family's 1533-position model. The record is from RNAcentral.
GACGAACGCUAGCUACAGGCCUAACGCAUGCAAGUCGGAGGGGCAGCGGGAAGGAAGCUUGCUUUCUUCGCCGGCGACCGGCGCACGGGUGCGUAACGCGUAUCGAACCUACCCUUUACUCGGGAACAGCCUUGCGAAAGCAAGAUUAAUGCCCGAUGUUCCGCGUUUGCUGCAUGGCAAAUUCGGCAAAGAUUUAUUGGUAAAGGAUGGCGAUGCGUCCCAUUAGUUAGUUGGCGGGGUAACGCCCACAAGACGACGAUGGGGUAGGGGUUCUGAGAGGAAGGUCCCCCANAUUGGAACUGAGACACGGUCCAAACUCC